RNAcentral lists this ribosomal RNA (465 nucleotides) under Vreelandella stevensii. RNAcentral's name for it is "partial 16S ribosomal RNA". It matches the Rfam family "Bacterial small subunit ribosomal RNA", at positions 338 to 795 of the family's 1533-position model. Lineage: Bacteria; Pseudomonadati; Pseudomonadota; Gammaproteobacteria; Oceanospirillales; Halomonadaceae. The record is from RNAcentral.
CCUACGGGUGGCAGCAGUGGGGAAUAUUGGACAAUGGGCGAAAGCCUGAUCCAGCCAUGCCGCGUGUGUGAAGAAGGCCUUCGGGUUGUAAAGCACUUUCAGUGGGGAAGAAAGCCUUGGGGCUAAUACCCUCGAGGAAGGACAUCACCCACAGAAGAAGCACCGGCUAACUCCGUGCCAGCAGCCGCGGUAAUACGGAGGGUGCGAGCGUUAAUCGGAAUUACUGGGCGUAAAGCGCGCGUAGGCGGUCUGAUAAGCCGGUUGUGAAAGCCCCGGGCUCAACCUGGGAACGGCAUCCGGAACUGUCAGGCUAGAGGGCAGGAGAGGAAGGUAGAAUUCCCGGUGUAGCGGUGAAAUGCGUAGAGAUCGGGAGGAAUACCAGUGGCGAAGGCGGCCUUCUGGACUGACACUGACGCUGAGGUGCGAAAGCGUGGGUAGCAAACAGGAUUAGAUACCCUUGUAGUC